ACAGGCAUGGCCAAACUUGGCCCUCCAGAUGUUUUGGGACUACAACUCCCAUCAUCCCUAGCUAACAGGACCAGUGGUCAGGGAUGAUGGGAAUUGUAGUCCCAAAACAUCUGGAGGGCCAAGUUUGGCAAUGCCUGG
This is a non-coding RNA of Podarcis lilfordi (Lilford's wall lizard), 138 nucleotides long. Lineage: Eukaryota; Metazoa; Chordata; Lepidosauria; Squamata; Lacertidae. The record is from the annotation of a GenBank genome assembly.